Molecule: transfer RNA, 68 nt
Filed under: Marmota monax (woodchuck)
Lineage: Eukaryota; Metazoa; Chordata; Mammalia; Rodentia; Sciuridae
Description: tRNA.Ala
Source: RNAcentral
GGAUUGUGGCUCAGCGGUAGAGUGCUUGCCUCGCAUAUGCAGGACCCUGGGUUUGAUCCUCAGCACCA